RNAcentral lists this ribosomal RNA (1332 nucleotides) under Yoma sabina. RNAcentral's name for it is "16S ribosomal RNA". The record is from RNAcentral. Lineage: Eukaryota; Metazoa; Arthropoda; Insecta; Lepidoptera; Nymphalidae.
GGGGGAAAAUUAAUAAUAUAAUUAUAAUAAAAAAAAUUUUAAUAUUAAAAAGAAAUAAUGGGGGUUUAAGUAUUUUUAAUAGAAAAAAUUAAUAUUUUUAUAGUUAAAUAUUACUGUAAAGGAAUUUAUAAAUAAAUGAAAAAUAAUUAAUUUAAAAGUAAAUUUAAAUUAUUGUAUCUUGUGUAUCAGAGUUUAUUAAAUAAUAAAAAUUUAUUUAAAUAAAUCUCGAAUUUAAAAGAGUUAAUUAAUUAAAAAAGUUAAUGUUGAAUAAUUAUUUUUAAUAAUUAAUUAGAAAUGAAAUGUUAAUCGUUUUUAAAUAUAUCUAGUUUUUUUAGAAAAAAAUUUAAUUUUAUAUUUAAAUAAUUUUAUAAUUAUUUAAUUAAUUAUAAAAAUUUAAAAUUUAAUAUUUUGGGGGAUAAGCUUUAAAUUAAAAAUUUAUAAUAAAAAUUAAUUUAAAUUAAAAUUUUUAAUAUUUAUAUUGUUUAAAAAUUAUAGUUUAUUAUAAAAAAUUUUAAUUAAUAAUAAAAUUUAAAUAAAAAUUUAAAUUUUUAUAAAAAAAAUAAUUUUUAAUAAGAAAAAAUUAGAAAUAAUGAUAAAAUUAGUAUAAUUAAUAAAUUAAAUUAAAAUUAAUAUUGAGUUAAAUUAAAGGAAUUCGGCAAAAAUUUAUAUUCACUUGUUUAUCAAAAACAUGUCUUUUUGAUAAUAAUUUAAAGUCUAAUCUGCCCACUGAUAGUAUAUUAAAGGGCUGCAGUAUAUUGACUGUACAAAGGUAGCAUAAUCAUUAGUCUUUUAAUUGAAGACUUGUAUGAAAGAUUUGAUGAAAUAUAAACUGUCUCUAAUUUAUAAUUAGAAAUUAAUUUUUUAGUUAAAAAGCUAAAAUAAUAUUAAAAGACGAGAAGACCCUAUAGAGUUUUAUAUUUUAUUUAUUUAUUAUUAAAUAUAAAAUUAAAUAUAAUUAAUUAAAUAAAAUAUUUUAUUGGGGUGAUAGAAAAAUUUAAUAAACUUUUUUUAUUUAAUUUACAUUAAUAAGUGAUUAAUUGAUCCAUUUUUAGUGAUUACAAGAAAAAAUUACCUUAGGGAUAACAGCGUAAUAUUUUUUUUUAGUACAAAUAAAAAAAAGAGAUUGCGACCUCGAUGUUGGAUUAAGAUAAAAUUUAAAUGCAAAAGUUUAAAAUUUUGAUCUGUUCGAUCAUUAAAAUCUUACAUGAUCUGAGUUCAAACCGGUGUAAGCCAGGUUGGUUUCUAUCUUUAAUAAAAUAAAAUAUUUUAGUACGAAAGGAUCAAAUAUUUAAAAUAAUUUUAUUUUAAAUGAAUAUUAAUAAAAUAGUUUUA